RNAcentral lists this long non-coding RNA (1366 nucleotides) under Nicotiana benthamiana. RNAcentral describes it as "long non-coding RNA (NBEN_LNC008815)". Lineage: Eukaryota; Viridiplantae; Streptophyta; Magnoliopsida; Solanales; Solanaceae. The record is from RNAcentral.
GUCAACUAUUUCUCCCUAUAAGUAUGCAGCAUGGAAGAAAUGGUAUGAGCACAUCCGUAACGAUAGACAACAUUAAUUUCCCAGACUAGUAGCUGUAUUAACCACAAGAUAAAAUGUUAAUACCUGACUGAGUCUUACUUCAUGCUUACUGAUACAAUGGACAAUGCACGAAUAUCCUUUCAGUCAAAAAGCACAACCGGAAACAGUCACAAAUUUGACCUGGCGAUAAAUUUAAUAAUCAAUCCUCAUAAGCAUUCUACACUCUAGGCAUAGAUCUUUUGGUUCUAUAUUGGCUUACUAAUACACAUCAAUAAAUUAAAAAUCCUCCAGAAAGACAUAUUGUAUUGAUUUUUCUUCUUCUAUGACUAGGCAACCUAACAUAAAAUGAAGUCACGCAUUGUACCUCUUAUGCACAUCCCUGAACAUAUCAAUCAGUUUGCCAACUCCCGAGGUUAACUAUUCUCACUUUCAUCUCUUAACAUAUCAUGCGAUAUUUACUAGCUUUGCACGUCUAGUUUUGGGGUCAACUUCUACUUGAAGCCCAAGUCGAGCAAGUUCCGGAACAUCUGCAGUUCCUUGAAGCUCUAAAUAAGCAACAGCCCCUUGGUUUUCUGCAUUUCCUUCCAAUAGGUUUCUCGCGCACCAGAUUCCCCACUCCCUUAAGAAAGGUGAAGCUCUAAAUCAGCAACAGCCCCUUGGUUUUCUGCAUUUCCUUCCAAUAGGUUUCUCGCGCACCAGAUUCCCCACUCCCUUAAGAAAGGAUUAUCAUCAUCUGUAACACACUGUUGUAGCAGUAAAAGGAUCCCAUUUUUAUCUCUAAUCUCAUCUUGGACGUGCCUUCUCCUAUAAGCACAGUUUCCAAGGAUGGCAACAAUAUCUCUCCGGAAACCUUUGUAAGGACAACACCUCAAUGACGAAGAUGAUGUUGCCUCCUUGAUCUGAUCCUGUGUCAUUGCUUUCCUAAUUGUCGUUGGAGGUUCAAGAUUUCGAAGUAAGUCCAGAAGAAGUUCAAUAAGCCGAGAGGAAACUAAUAUAUCCACGACAUCCUUUGGACCUUCCUCCCUAGAGCUUGUCAGGUGACCACACGCGCAAAUAUCUCUCAAGAUCACAAGUGAGUAUCCCAGAACAUCAAUAGGAGCAGACCCCGUUGGAAGAUCAUCUUUCCCUCUGUUUGAAAAGUCAACAACCACUGCAGCACUCUUAAAUAUCCCGAAGAUACUUAAAGCAAAAACAUGUGAAACAACAAUAUGCUCUAAUUGCUCAUUCAAGAUUGAUGAGAGGAUACUCAACAGAUGAGCUUGCUCACUAACAAAUUCGUAAGCUAAAUGUGUAACAAUAUCAUUGUCCUUAACACAAGGAUGUGAAU